This 268-nucleotide unclassified non-coding RNA is filed under the name Hevea brasiliensis (rubber tree). The record is from RNAcentral. Lineage: Eukaryota; Viridiplantae; Streptophyta; Magnoliopsida; Malpighiales; Euphorbiaceae.
AGCAAAUGGUGUCUUGAGCUCGGCGCGCAUCAUGUAAUCGAUCAUUCCAAACCGAUGAAGGAACAGAUCGCCGCGCUGAAAGUUCCGCCAGUGGCGCUGAUCGCAGCGCUCACCAACACCGAACAGCACUUCGCGGCACUUGCCGAUGUCGUCGCGCCGCAAGGCAAGCUCGGGCUGAUCGAUGAUCCGGCGUCGCUCAAUGUCAAUCUCCUGAAGGGCAAGGCGGUAUCGCUGCACUGGGAAUCGAUGUUCACGCGCUCAUCGUUCC